This 386-nucleotide ribosomal RNA is filed under the name uncultured bacterium. Its description in RNAcentral is "bacterial SSU rRNA". It matches the Rfam family "Bacterial small subunit ribosomal RNA", at positions 30 to 414 of the family's 1533-position model. The record is from RNAcentral.
AUUGAACGCUGGCGGAAUGCUUUACACAUGCAAGUCGAACGGUAGAGGGGGCAACCCCUUGAGAGUGGCGAACGGGUGAGUAAUAUAUCGGAACGUGCCCCAGGUCGUGGGGGAUAACGUAGCGAAAGUUACGCUAAUACCGCAUACGAUCUACGGAUGAAAGCGGGGGGACUCGCAAGAGCCUCGCGCGAUUGGAGCGGCCGAUAUCAGAUUAGGUAGUUGGUGGGGUAAAGGCUCACCAAGCCAACGAUCUGUAGCUGGUCUGAGAGGACGACCAGCCACACUGGAACUGAGACACGGUCCAGACUCCUACGGGAGGCAGCAGUGGGGAAUUUUGGACCAAGUGGACGCAAGUCUGAUCCAGCAUUCCGCGUGCAGGAUGAAGG